Molecule: non-coding RNA, 379 nt
Organism: Gasterosteus aculeatus aculeatus (three-spined stickleback)
Lineage: Eukaryota; Metazoa; Chordata; Actinopteri; Perciformes; Gasterosteidae
Source: RefSeq, a predicted model, not a curated record
UAAUUGUUGAGAUUCUGCUUCUUUCGAUCGUUGUGUAACUGUGAAUGUGGUUGCAGCCGUGGCCAUGAAGACCUUCAGGGCGCCGUGAGGAGACCAGGAAGGAUCCUCUGAACCAGGAGACCUGGUCGACGUCUCUCUGGACAAAUGGAACCCCCCUGUGAUCAACCAGUGAUGACGACCCGUCGGCGCCGUGGGGCAGGGUGACCGUUCGACGCUGCGCCGAUGCUGCUCGUCUGCUGGUACGUGAACCUUUAACUCAAGUCUAUGAAUUAAAGCGCUUCGCUGUGAUGAGGUCAUUUCCUGCCAUUCGUAGUUUCCACCAGAGGUCCAACGGGCCGAUGACGGUCCAAACCUUCCUUGGAUGUCUGAGCGAAGAGCA